This 107-nucleotide small nucleolar RNA is filed under the name Gossypium raimondii (Peruvian cotton). RNAcentral describes it as "snoRNA LOC128035718". It matches the Rfam family "Plant small nucleolar RNA R71". Rfam says of the family: R71 is a member of the C/D box family of snoRNAs containing the C (UGAUGA) and D (CUGA) box motifs. Multiple nearly identical copies of this snoRNA have been identified in Arabidopsis, and it is thought to function as a 2'-O-ribose methylation guide for 18S ribosomal RNA. Lineage: Eukaryota; Viridiplantae; Streptophyta; Magnoliopsida; Malvales; Malvaceae. The record is from Rfam by way of RNAcentral.
AUUCCAUGAUAAGGGCACUUUCGUAAUAACUUUUUGCACCUUUCCCAUGCCUCAUACAGGGACUCAUCAUCCAUUUGUUGGAAGGCAAUGAUCUCAUUCCUCAACUU